Molecule: ribosomal RNA, 492 nt
Filed under: uncultured bacterium
Lineage: Bacteria
Description: partial 16S ribosomal RNA
Rfam family: Bacterial small subunit ribosomal RNA
Source: RNAcentral
AGUGAACGCUGGCGGUAGGCCUAACACAUGCAAGUCGAACGGCAGCACAGUAAGAGCUUGCUCUUACGGGUGGCGAGUGGCGGACGGGUGAGGAAUACAUCGGAAUCUACUUUUUCGUGGGGGAUAACGUAGGGAAACUUACGCUAAUACCGCAUACGACCUACGGGUGAAAGCAGGGGAUCUUCGGACCUUGCGCGAUUGAAUGAGCCGAUGUCGGAUUAGCUAGUUGGCGGGGUAAAGGCCCACCAAGGCGACGAUCCGUAGCUGGUCUGAGAGGAUGAUCAGCCACACUGGAACUGAGACACGGUCCAGACUCCUACGGGAGGAAGCAGUGGGGAAUAUUAGACAAUGGGCGAAAGCCUGAUCCAGCAAUACCGCGUGGGUGAAGAAGGCGUUCGGGUUGUAAAGCCCUUUUGUUGGGAAAGAAAGGCAGCAGGUUAAUACCCCGCUGUUCUGACGGUACCCAAAGAAUAAGCACCGGCUAACUUCGUG